RNAcentral lists this ribosomal RNA (933 nucleotides) under Triticum aestivum (bread wheat). Its description in RNAcentral is "partial small subunit ribosomal RNA". The record is from RNAcentral. Lineage: Eukaryota; Viridiplantae; Streptophyta; Magnoliopsida; Poales; Poaceae.
AUGUUUCCAGCUUUCCACGCUAAUUGUUUAUCUUGGUUUUGCCGUUUGCCUUCUUCUCAGGCCGAUUUGAGCUGCGGAGCUUCCGGUGUGACCGCGAAUGAUCAUCAGCUGGCCGCUCCGGCUCCGGAGGACUCGGCGGUGGCGGGGAGCGAGAAGAUGGGGAGGGGCCGGAUCGAGAUCAAGCGCAUCGAGAACACCACCAACCGGCAGGUCACCUUCUGCAAGCGCCGCAACGGCCUCCUGAAGAAGGCGUACGAGCUCUCGGUGCUCUGCGACGCCGAGGUGGCCCUCAUCGUCUUCUCCAGCCGCGGCCGCCUCUACGAGUACUCCAACAACAGUGUGAAAGCCACCAUUGAGAGGUACAAAAAGGCCAACAGUGACACAUCCAACUCUGGCACGGUUGCAGAAGUCAAUGCCCAGUACUACCAGCAGGAGUCCUCCAAGCUGCGCCAGCAGAUCAGUAGCUUGCAAAACUCAAACAGGUCACUGGUGAGGGAUUCUGUCAGCACCAUGACCCUGAGGGAUCUUAAGCAGCUAGAAGGGAGGCUGGAGAAAGGCAUAGCCAAGAUAAGAGCUAGAAAGAUAUUGGACUACGUACUGCUCAUAUAUUUCUUCCUUGGAUUAGUUGCUCAUCUGACGAACAAUGCCUUCAUGCAGAAUGAGCUGAUGUAUGCUGAAGUUGAGUAUAUGCAGAAGAGGGAAAUGGAGCUACAUAACGAUAACAUUUACCUGAGGAGCAAGGUGUCUGAGAAUGAGAGGGGUCAGCAGCCGAUGAACAUGAUGGCGUCGGGAUCGACGAGCAGCGAAUACGAUCACAUGGUCCCGCCGUAUGAUUCCAGAAACUUCCUGCAGGCGAACAUCCUGCAGCAGCAGCAGCAGCAGCAGCAGCAUUACUCCCAACAGCUGCAGCCAACUGCCCUUCAGCUCGGGUAA